AUUGAACGCUGGCGGCAGGCUUAACACAUGCAAGUCGAACGAGGGGCGGACGGGUGAGUAAUGUCUGGGAAACUGCCUGAUGGAGGGGGAUAACUACUGGAACCGGUAGCUAAUACCGCAUACCAUCAGAUGUGCCCAGAUGGGAUUAGCUAGUAGGUGGGGUAACGGCUCACAUAGGCGACGAUCCCUAGCUGGUCUGAGAGGAUGAACAGCCACACUGGAACCGAGACACGGUCCAUACCCCUACGGGAGUCAGCAGUGGGGAAUAUUGCACAAUGGGCGCAAGCCUGAUGCAGCCAUGCCGCGUGUAUGAAGAAGGCCUUCGGGUUGUAAAGCACUUUCAGCGAGGAGGCGUUACUCGCAGAAGAAGCACCGGCUAACUCCGUGCCAGCAGCCGCGGUAAUUC
This 406-nucleotide ribosomal RNA is filed under the name uncultured bacterium. RNAcentral describes it as "partial 16S ribosomal RNA". It matches the Rfam family "Bacterial small subunit ribosomal RNA", at positions 30 to 526 of the family's 1533-position model. The record is from RNAcentral.